UUAAAUGGCCGCAGUAUUUUGACUGUGCUAAGGUAGCAUAAUCAUUAGUUUUUUAAUUGAAAGCUGGAAUGAAGGGUUGGAUGAAAAAAAAACUGUCUCUAAUUAAUUAUUAUAGAAUUUUAUUUUUAAGUUAAAAAGCUUAAAUAAAGUUAAAAGACGAGAAGACCCUAUAGAGUUUAAUAAUUUAAUUUAUUUUAUUAUUUAGUAUUAAUAUUUAAUAUAAAAAUAAUUAUUUAAUUGGGGUGAUUAAAAAAUUUAAUAAACUUUUUUUAUAUUUUUAUAUUUAUAUAUAAAUGUUUGAUCCAAUUUUAUUGAUUAUAAGAUUAAAUUACCUUAGGGAUAACAGCGUAAUUUUAUUAGAGAGUU
RNAcentral lists this ribosomal RNA (366 nucleotides) under Apophylia epipleuralis. Its description in RNAcentral is "partial 16S ribosomal RNA". Lineage: Eukaryota; Metazoa; Arthropoda; Insecta; Coleoptera; Chrysomelidae. The record is from RNAcentral.